AUCCUUGCAAUUUUUUUUUUGAUUUCCUAAUUUAUCACUUUUAGAAGUUUAAUAUUAAAAAUAUCCUUUUAACAUUACAAGUUAUUUUAAAUAUACUUUUAGAAAUAAAUUCCGUUAGUAAACGGUUAGCAACAAUCGUUAUUACUGUAAAAUUACUAUUUUACCAUUUUAAAUAUACCCUUCUAUAAUUUAAAAUUACUGUAAAAUUACUAUUUACAGUAAUAGUUGUUACUGUAAAAUUACUGUAAAAUUACUAUUUUACUGUAAAAUUACUGUAAAAUUACUAACUGUAAAAUUACUAUUUACAGUAAUCGUUAUUACUGUAAUUUUACUGUAAAAUUACUGUAAAAUUACUAUUUUACCCUUUUAAAUAUACCCUUCUAUCAUUUAAAAUUACUGUAAAAUUAUUAUUUACAGUAAUCGUUAUUACUGUAAAAUUCCGUUAGUAAACGGUUAGCAACAAUCAUUAUUACUGUAAAAUUACUAUUUUACCCUUUUAAAUAUACCCUUCUAUCAUCAUCAACUUUUUUUAUUUACUUGUAAGUUAGGAACAAAAAAAUAUUUGUCCUUAGAGGUAUUUUGAUUUUUUUUUUAACUCC
Molecule: long non-coding RNA, 599 nt
Filed under: Ananas comosus (pineapple)
Lineage: Eukaryota; Viridiplantae; Streptophyta; Magnoliopsida; Poales; Bromeliaceae
Description: long non-coding RNA (ACOM_LNC033083)
Source: RNAcentral